CUCCUCCCCCCCAUCUCUCUCUCUCUCUCUCUUUCUCUCUCUCUCUCUCUCUCUCUCUCUCUCUCUCUCUCUCUCUCAAGGCUAGAAACCCUGAACCCUAGCUGUCAGUACUGGCUCUCUGUCUCCCGUAGUGUCCUCUGUCUCUCCUCCUAUGUGUCAUUGUUGUUUUGAAUCAGUGGACUCUGGCUCCUAUUCGUCCUUCUUGUAUGCUCUAACUUUGCAUUAUGACAAGCUUUUUUGUAAAAUGGAGUAGCCACAUCGCAUUUUUGGUGUCUGCUUCUAAAAGUGAAAAAUCUUUGACGAGGGUUGUGUAGCUUGAAUUAAGUGUGGCCUUUGGAAGAAGUCUGACAUAGCAAGUAGGAGAGGAAUUUGUGCAGGUGAUGGCGUUGCAUUUUGGGACUGGCAUCAAAGUCGGUCAUCGAUGGAUUGGAACUCUCGCAUAUCGGGAGAAUAUUAGAAGUAUUGAUGAAGCUGUAAGUUAUGUUUGUCAUAUUUAUGUGUGAGUUAUGAAGGAUUGAAAAUAUCAUUUUUCUUCCUCUAAUGUGAUGUAGGUAUAUAUAGGUCUUGGCUCAAAGUUGCAUUAAGGCAUUGGCAGGUUUAGGUUCAGGUAGUGUGACAAAUAAUGUGAAUGCACGUCCCAACAUUUUUCAAGUGUGAACUAUACAAGAAGCGGAGCAUUUGCAUUGGCCAAAAGUGAUGUCCCCAAAAAUAAAAAAAAAUUAAUAAUACUUUUUUAUAUGAUGUAAUAAUCAAAUUAAUUGGCUAAAGUUUUUAAUUACAACUCAGUCAUAAUAGGUUAGGGAUCGAUUAUUGACUCACAACUAUGGACUUUGGUUAAUGCCUAAUUGUAUAGCAAUCGUCUCCAUUUAAGUUAAUUCUGUAAAUGACUAUGUCUACGACAUGCUUUGUUCUUGACUGGCUUCAUUUUUGUUUAACUCAGGGAUGUCUGGCAGUGAGCCGAAUUUGGACGAUGGCAGCACGUCAGAGUUUUCAGGCCAAUGGAUUGAUGCUUGGAGCAUCGAUUCGGAUAAUGAAGAUGAUUCGAACAGGUCGGAGGAAUCGCAGACUGAGGAAGGGGAUAGUGUCCCCACCGACCGUGAAUACUAAGGUUGGGAUGGUGGUGGAAGCAAUAUAGAUGCCUCAACGGAGGAUCAUAGGAACUCAGAGAAUAUCAUAGGUGAACAAUUUAGCAGUCCAAACGCUAUGAAUGCUUCUGUGUUGUUAUCUGCGUCCAAACGCUAUGAAUACA
Arachis ipaensis is the source of this 1249-nucleotide non-coding RNA. NCBI's taxonomy places the organism in Eukaryota, Viridiplantae, Streptophyta, Magnoliopsida, Fabales, Fabaceae. The record is from RefSeq and is a predicted model, not a curated record.